GCUCGCGGUGGCCGAGGCGCGGCUGGCCGCCGGGCAGGCGGCGGACGCGCCCGCCGUGGAGGCGGCCGUGGACCGUGCCCACCACCAGUG
This 90-nucleotide transfer RNA is filed under the name Streptomyces rubradiris. Its description in RNAcentral is "tRNA-Ala". Lineage: Bacteria; Bacillati; Actinomycetota; Actinomycetes; Kitasatosporales; Streptomycetaceae. The record is from RNAcentral.